ACGAACGCUGGCGGCGUGCUUAACACAUGCAAGUCGAACGGAAAGGCCCUGCUUUUGUGGGGUGCUCGAGUGGCGAACGGGUGAGUAACACGUGAGUAACCUGCCCUUGACUUUGGGAUAACUUCAGGAAACUGGGGCUAAUACCGGAUAGGAGCUCCUGCUGCAUGGUGGGGGUUGGAAAGUUUCGGCGGUUGGGGAUGGACUCGCGGCUUAUCAGCUUGUUGGUGGGGUAGUGGCUUACCAAGGCUUUGACGGGUAGCCGGCCUGAGAGGGUGACCGGCCACAUUGGGACUGAGAUACGGCCCAGACUCCUACGGGAGGCAGCAGUGGGGAAUAUUGCACAAUGGGCGGAAGCCUGAUGCAGCAACGCCGCGUCCGGGAUGACGGCCUUCGGGUUGUAAACCGCUUUCGCCUGUGACGAAGCGUGAGUGACGGUAAUGGGUAAAGAAGCACCGGCUAACUACGUG
This 467-nucleotide ribosomal RNA is filed under the name uncultured bacterium. RNAcentral's name for it is "partial 16S ribosomal RNA". It matches the Rfam family "Bacterial small subunit ribosomal RNA", at positions 29 to 507 of the family's 1533-position model. The record is from RNAcentral.